Chlorocebus sabaeus (green monkey) is the source of this 698-nucleotide non-coding RNA. Lineage: Eukaryota; Metazoa; Chordata; Mammalia; Primates; Cercopithecidae. The record is from RefSeq and is a predicted model, not a curated record.
AUGUUUGUCUUGUCUUGUGUUGUCUUGUGUGUUCAUUCCUUUGUUUAGGAAACACGCGGACCCCAACAUCUGGCGCAGCGAGCAGGGUCCGUGGCUCCACGAGAGCAAGGAACUGGAGGGGGAACACCCCGGGCAGGUGCCGGGUUGAAACAGUGCCAUGGCGAAGAGAAGCCGAUCCGAAGAGUUCCUGAAGGAAUUCCAGGAGCUAAAUCUGAGCGCUCAGAGAACAUUCACCUUCGGAACUCGACGUGUGGAGCCCCCGACAUGGGGACAACUGAAAAGGUUAAGAAGCUGAAGGGGUUGUUCAACAAGCUGGGCAGCCCAAAACCCCACUGACUUUAUUCCUGGCUAUGCUGGCCGUAGUAAAUUGUCAGGUAACAGCUGGAGAAUUUACAUACUGCCUUAUAUUCCUUUUCCACCCUUAUAUCAAGGUGUGGCCUGGGGAGACAGAGAAGUCCUAGUAUUUACUAAUGAUACUGCUUGGAUGCCAUCGCCUUUUUUAAACCAGGAUCCUGAAUUAAACACUGGCACAGUAAAUAGUUCAUAUCAAUUUGAGGUUGAAGGGUUACCUAUAUGUCUUGAGGGGGUAGUCCACAUUGUCUGCAUCUUUCUCAUGAGGCUUGGGCUGUUCGCUAUAACCAUAGUCAUAUUUCUGCCUUUACUAUGAUUAUUGUUGCUCAAAGUUUUAAGUGUAAUCA